CGAUGCUGCUCGUCCCAGAAGCACACUUAGAGUAGCUCGCAUUAGGGCCGGUCCGCCAGAACCCAACGUGUCUCUCUGAGGACUGACUCAGAGCAGCUAAGACACCAGCCACCUUCAUUCAAAGGACCUGAACCUGGCUAAGCUGAUGGUUACUACCACCAAAUGGGCUCAUUUUUGGUGUUUUCUGGUGUCUGUGUAACUCCUAGCACUUGUCAUGUUGCCACAGGAAGACCUGAAGACCUGGAUCUACGAAUACCAAUAUCUUCACUGUUUUGUUGUAGAUAUUUUCAGGGGUAAUAAUGUAAACCUCUUUUCAGCCUCCAAGUUGGAAACGAAACAUGGAUUCCCUGGAAUAGCCCGUUGUCAGAAGUAGCAAGCACACUCCUCUGGCGAGGGUCUGCAGGCCACACAGUCUCCUCCCUGAGCUGGCUGGCAGAUACAGAUGCGCAAGCCAGGAAAGCAAUAAAAGUAUGAAAUAGAGAUAUUAAGGAUGCAAGGAAGUUGUUUACCGCAAAUAUUGUCUCCAAGUUGUCUGCACGACACAAGCCUGGCGCUACAUUCUAAAGGCACCAGUACUAACAGGAGAAAUUUUAAAUGUCAAGAAAAUUCAAAAGAAGACAAGGAAAUGAUUUUCAGCAAAGUCUCACAGCAUCCCUUCGAAAAGCCUGAGGUGAAAAUGAGAAUUUCCUGGAAAUUCGGCUGGCAAUACGUUCCUACACCAACAUUUUAACCCACUGCUCUCCCAAUGCUUCUUACUUUAUUCACUCCUGACUGAAUUUCCCAGGUCCCUCUCCACUUAUUUCCAGCUGUCACAAACACGGACUUUGGAGUCAUAAAGUGCCAGGUUUGAUUCUCAUCUAUACGACUGAUUUAGCUGUGUGACCUUGAGCAAAUUACCAUCCUCUCUGAGCUUCUGCUUCCCUGUCUCUUAAAUGGAGAUAAUAAAACCUAUGUCCUAGGGGUCAAGAAAGAUUAAACAAAGUAUUCAAAUGCAUAGCAUGCAACAAGGCUCAAAAACAAUUUGUUAAAUUUUAUUUUAUUGUGGUAGGACACAACACAAGAUCUACUCUCUUAACAAAUUGUU
Molecule: long non-coding RNA, 1084 nt
Filed under: Equus asinus (donkey)
Lineage: Eukaryota; Metazoa; Chordata; Mammalia; Perissodactyla; Equidae
Description: lncRNA (ENSEASG00005028716.1)
Source: RNAcentral